This 301-nucleotide ribosomal RNA is filed under the name uncultured bacterium. RNAcentral's name for it is "partial 16S ribosomal RNA". It matches the Rfam family "Bacterial small subunit ribosomal RNA", at positions 509 to 807 of the family's 1533-position model. The record is from RNAcentral.
CAGCCGCCGCGGGAAUACGUAGGUGGCAAGCGUUGUCCGGAAUUAUUGGGCGUAAAGCGCGCGCAGGUGGUUUAAUAAGUCUGAUGUGAAAGCCCACGGCUCAACCGUGGAGGGUCAUUGGAAACUGUUAAACUUGAGUGCAGAAGAGGAGAGUGGAAUUCCACGUGUAGCGGUGAAAUGCGUAGAGAUGUGGAGGAACACCAGUGGCGAAGGCGACUCUCUGGUCUGUAACUGACGCUGAGGAGCGAAAGCGUGGGGAGCGAACAGGAUUAGAUACCCGCGUAGUCCCUGUCUCUUAUAC